RNAcentral lists this ribosomal RNA (440 nucleotides) under uncultured bacterium. RNAcentral's name for it is "partial 16S ribosomal RNA". It matches the Rfam family "Bacterial small subunit ribosomal RNA", at positions 338 to 795 of the family's 1533-position model. The record is from RNAcentral.
CCUACGGGUGGCAGCAGUGGGGAAUAUUGCACAAUGGGGGAAACCCUGAUGCAGCGACGCCGCGUGAGUGAAGAAGUAAUUCGUUAUGUAAAGCUCUAUCAGCAGGGAAGAAAAUGACGGUACCUGAGUAAGAAGCCCCGGCUAACUACGUUCCAGCAGCCGCGGUACUACGUAGGGGGCAAGCGUUAUCCGGCUUUACUGGGUGUAAAGCGAGCGUAGACGGCAGUGCAAGUCUGGAGUGAAAUGCGGGGGCUCAACCCCCGUACUGCUCUGGAAACUGUACGGCUGGAGUGCAGGAGAGGUAAGUGGAAUGCGUAGUGUAGCGGUGAAAUGCGUAGAUAUUAGGAGGAACACCAGUGGCGAAGGCGGCUUACUGGACUGUAACUGACGUUGAGGCUCGAAAGCGUGGGGAGCAAACAGGAUUAGAUACCCCAGUAGUC